UACGAGGGUGCAGCGUUAAUCGGAAUUACUGGGCGUAAAGCGCGUGUAGGCGGUUUGAUUAGUCUGAUGUGAAAGCCCUGGGCUCAACCCAAGAAGUGCAUUGGAAACUGUCAGACUUGAAUACGGGAGAGGGCAGUGGAAUUCCUAGUGUAGGAGUGAAAUCCGUAGAUAUUAGGAGGAACACCGGUGGCGAAGGCGGCUGCCUGGACCGAUAUUGACGCUGAGACGCGAAAGCGUGGGUAGCAAACAGGAUUAGAUACCCUGGUAGU
This 269-nucleotide ribosomal RNA is filed under the name uncultured bacterium. RNAcentral describes it as "partial 16S ribosomal RNA". It matches the Rfam family "Bacterial small subunit ribosomal RNA", at positions 524 to 794 of the family's 1533-position model. The record is from RNAcentral.